Molecule: long non-coding RNA, 992 nt
Organism: Brassica napus (rape)
Lineage: Eukaryota; Viridiplantae; Streptophyta; Magnoliopsida; Brassicales; Brassicaceae
Exons: 2
Source: RefSeq, a predicted model, not a curated record
CAAAUGGAGUAUUUUUUUUUUGUUCAUUAAUUUAUUAUAAAGUAAAAAAUAAAAUAGAAUUAGAGUAUUUUUACUCCAUAUUCAGUUUUACUCUAUUUGGUAGAAAAAAAUUGAAUAUUACAUUAGAAAUGCUCUAAAGAAUGGACCUCAUCUCUUUCCAAACUAGAUAUUUGUGAUGGCUCUUGUUUUUCGUUUGUGUUGACUAUUCUCUUUCUUGAUUAUUCUGUCUUUUUGUUUCAUUCUGGCUAUAUUUUUAUUCCUUUUAGAUGCAAAUAAAUGCAUGUCUACGAUUAGUUCUUUGUAUGUUUUUCAUGCAAUUAUGAUUUAUUUAUUUUUAUGAGAAUAUGAUUAAUUACUUUGUCAAAUUAAAUGGUUAGGAUCUUUUAAUUAUAAAUUUUGCUUUGUUUCCAAAUACUGUAAGAUAUAAAUUAAAGUAAUAGAGAUUUGCUAUCCAUAGAACAGUUACAAAAUUAAUUGUAUUCUCUCUUUUUAGUCAUACAAAAUGAAUUGUAUUCAAGUCAAAGCAACAAAUGUAUUACAAUGACAAUUAAUGUUUGAUUUCAUUCAUCUCAUCAUGUACAUAUAUAAUAUAUACAUACACAAAUUAUACAUAUCAAACAACAAACAUCAGUUUAAAUUUUGAAUUCCAAGUCUAAAUAACAAAAUUGUCUAAGAGAAUGGCACAAAAGGUGUGUAUGAUAAUGAUGACACUGAUAAUGAUCGGAUGUCAUCUAAAAGCAUGCAGUGGAAUGGAAAACAUUGGAAUGGAAAACAUGUCAAAGGAAGGCCAUCUCACAACAAUGGAAACAAUAAGGCCAGAUGAUGUUCCAAACCCAGUAUGCAUAAGGAACUGUAGUGUUACUAGUCACAGUAAAAAAGAGUUUCAAGAUUGUAUCACACAUUGCGGAUGAUCAGUUCUGAAUGUUCUAUGACGAUGUAUUAAAGAUAUUUACAACUCUUUUUCGAUAAAUAAAAAUAAUAAUAAUGCAUUA